GAGCGGCGGACGGGUGAGGAACACAUCGGAAUCUACCCUGUCGUGGGGGACAACGUAGGGAAACUUACGCUAAUACCGCAUACGACUUUGGGUGAAAGCGGGGGACUCGCAAGAGCCUCGCGCGAUUGGAUGAGCCGAUGUCCGAUUAGCUAGUUGGCGGGGUAAUGGCCCACCAAGGCGACGAUCGGUAGCUGGUCUGAGAGGACGACCAGCCACACUGGAACUGAGACACGGUCCAGACUCCUACGGGAGGCAGCAGUGGGGAAUAUUGGACAAUGGGGGCAACCCUGAUCCAGCCAUGCCGCGUGGGUGAAGAAGGCCUUCGGGUUGUAAAGCCCUUUUGUACGGGAAGAAAAGCUUUCGGUGAAUAGCCGGGGGUCAUGACGGUACCGUAAGAAUAAGCACCGGCUAACUUCGUGCCAGCAGCCGCGGUAAUACGAAGGGUGCAAGCGUUGUUCGGAUUUAUUGGGCGUAAAGCGCGUGUAGGCGGUUUCUUAAGUCUGAUGUGAAAGCCCUGGGCUCAACCCAGGAAGUGCAUUGGAUACUGGGAGACUUGAAUACGGGAGAGGGUAGUGGAAUUCCUAGUGUAGGAGUGAAAUCCGUAGAUAUUAGGAGGAACACCGGUGGCGAAGGCGGCUACCUGGACCGAUAU
Molecule: ribosomal RNA, 652 nt
Filed under: uncultured bacterium
Lineage: Bacteria
Description: bacterial SSU rRNA
Rfam family: Bacterial small subunit ribosomal RNA
Source: RNAcentral